RNAcentral lists this ribosomal RNA (1739 nucleotides) under Salmonella enterica subsp. enterica. RNAcentral describes it as "partial 23S ribosomal RNA". It matches the Rfam family "Bacterial large subunit ribosomal RNA", at positions 1213 to 2925 of the family's 2925-position model. The record is from RNAcentral. Lineage: Bacteria; Pseudomonadati; Pseudomonadota; Gammaproteobacteria; Enterobacterales; Enterobacteriaceae.
GCUGAUGCGUUGUUGGGUAGGGGAGCGUUCUGUAAGCCUGCGAAGGUGGCCUGUGAGGGUUGCUGGAGGUAUCAGAAGUGCGAAUGCUGACAUAAGUAACGAUAAAGCGGGUGAAAAGCCCGCUCGCCGGAAGACCAAGGGUUCCUGUCCAACGUUAAUCGGGGCAGGGUGAGUCGACCCCUAAGGCGAGGCCGAAAGGCGUAGUCGAUGGGAAACGGGUUAAUAUUCCCGUACUUGGUGUUACUGCGAAGGGGGGACGGAGAAGGCUAUGUUGGCCGGGCGACGGUUGUCCCGGUUUAAGCGUGUAGGUGUGUGUUCCAGGUAAAUCCGGUUCACUUUAACACUGAGGCGUGAUGACGAGGCACUACGGUGCUGAAGCAACAAAUGCCCUGCUUCCAGGAAAAGCCUCUAAGCAUCAGGUAACAUCAAAUCGUACCCCAAACCGACACAGGUGGUCAGGUAGAGAAUACCAAGGCGCUUGAGAGAACUCGGGUGAAGGAACUAGGCAAAAUGGUGCCGUAACUUCGGGAGAAGGCACGCUGACAUGUAGGUGAAGUGAUUUACUCAUGGAGCUGAAGUCAGUCGAAGAUACCAGCUGGCUGCAACUGUUUAUUAAAAACACAGCACUGUGCAAACACGAAAGUGGACGUAUACGGUGUGACGCCUGCCCGGUGCCGGAAGGUUAAUUGAUGGGGUCAGCGCAAGCGAAGCUCCUGAUCGAAGCCCCGGUAAACGGCGGCCGUAACUAUAACGGUCCUAAGGUAGCGAAAUUCCUUGUCGGGUAAGUUCCGACCUGCACGAAUGGCGUAAUGAUGGCCAGGCUGUCUCCACCCGAGACUCAGUGAAAUUGAACUCGCUGUGAAGAUGCAGUGUACCCGCGGCAAGACGGAAAGACCCCGUGAACCUUUACUAUAGCUUGACACUGAACAUUGAGCCUUGAUGUGUAGGAUAGGUGGGAGGCUUUGAAGUGUGGACGCCAGUCUGCAUGGAGCCGACCUUGAAAUACCACCCUUUAAUGUUUGAUGUUCUAACGUGGACCCGUGAUCCGGGUUGCGGACAGUGUCUGGUGGGUAGUUUGACUGGGGCGGUCUCCUCCUAAAGAGUAACGGAGGAGCACGAAGGUUGGCUAAUCCUGGUCGGACAUCAGGAGGUUAGUGCAAUGGCAUAAGCCAGCUUGACUGCGAGCGUGACGGCGCGAGCAGGUGCGAAAGCAGGUCAUAGUGAUCCGGUGGUUCUGAAUGGAAGGGCCAUCGCUCAACGGAUAAAAGGUACUCCGGGGAUAACAGGCUGAUACCGCCCAAGAGUUCAUAUCGACGGCGGUGUUUGGCACCUCGAUGUCGGCUCAUCACAUCCUGGGGCUGAAGUAGGUCCCAAGGGUAUGGCUGUUCGCCAUUUAAAGUGGUACGCGAGCUGGGUUUAGAACGUCGUGAGACAGUUCGGUCCCUAUCUGCCGUGGGCGCUGGAGAACUGAGGGGGGCUGCUCCUAGUACGAGAGGACCGGAGUGGACGCAUCACUGGUGUUCGGGUUGUCAUGCCAAUGGCACUGCCCGGUAGCUAAAUGCGGAAGAGAUAAGUGCUGAAAGCAUCUAAGCACGAAACUUGCCCCGAGAUGAGUUCUCCCUGAGACUUAAAGUCUCCUGAAGGAACGUUGAAGACGACGACGUUGAUAGGCCGGGUGUGUAAGCGCAGCGAUGCGUUGAGCUAACCGGUACUAAUGAACCGUGAGGCUUAACCUUACA